AAAUCUGGUGGAGGUCCGUAGCGGUCCUGACGUGCAAAUCGGUCGUCCGACCUGGGUAUAGGGGCGAAAGAGCUAAUCGAACCAUCUAGUAGCUGGUUCCCUCCGAAGUUUCCCUCAGGANUAGCUGGCACUCGGACCUCAGUUUUAUCCGGUAAAGCUAAUGACUAGAGGCAUUGGGGCCGAAACGAGUCUCAACCUAUUCUCAAACUUUAAAUGGGAAAGAAGCCCGGCUCGCUGGCUUGGAGCCGGGCAUGGAAUGAGAUUGCCUAGUGGGCCACUUUUGGUAAG
RNAcentral lists this ribosomal RNA (288 nucleotides) under Noturus funebris (black madtom). RNAcentral describes it as "partial 28S ribosomal RNA". It matches the Rfam family "Eukaryotic large subunit ribosomal RNA", at positions 860 to 1144 of the family's 3401-position model. Lineage: Eukaryota; Metazoa; Chordata; Actinopteri; Siluriformes; Ictaluridae. The record is from RNAcentral.